RNAcentral lists this ribosomal RNA (359 nucleotides) under Thalassozetes canariensis. RNAcentral's name for it is "partial large subunit ribosomal RNA". It matches the Rfam family "Eukaryotic large subunit ribosomal RNA", at positions 648 to 962 of the family's 3401-position model. The record is from RNAcentral. Lineage: Eukaryota; Metazoa; Arthropoda; Arachnida; Sarcoptiformes; Selenoribatidae.
CCCGUCUUGAAACACGGACCAAGGAGUCUAACAUGUGCGCGAGUCACUCGGUCUUGAUUAGGCCAGAGAGGCGCAAUGAAAGUGAAACAUUUUUUAUGUUACGAUCCUUACAAUACAGUUGCAGUUCGGCUGUGGCUGUUGUUUGGCGCAGUAACGGCCUGCCAAUUUCGCCUGUUGACGAUCUGGCAGAGUUGUAGCGUACACGUUGGUACCCGAAAGAUGGUGAACUAUGCCUGGGCAAGACGAAGCCAGAGGAAACUCUGGUGGAGGUCUGUAGCGAUUCUGACGUGCAAAUCGAUCGUCCGACCUGGGUAUAGGGGCGAAAGACUAAUCGAACCAUCUAGUAGCUGGUUCCUUCC